GAUGAACGCUGGCGGCGUGCCUAAUACAUGCAAGUCGAGCGAACGGACGAGAAGCUUGCUUCUCUGAUGUUAGCGGCGGGCGGGUGAGUAACACGUGGAUAACCUACCUAUAAGACUGGGAUAACUUCGGGAAACCGGAGCUAAUACCGGAUAAUAUUUUGUACCGCAUGGUUCAAAAGUGAAAGACGGUCUUGCUGUCACUUAUAGAUGGAUCCGCGCUGCAUUAGCUAGUUGGUAAGGUAACGGCUUACCAAGGCAACGAUGCAUAGCCGACCUGAGAGGGUGAUCGGCCACACUGGAACUGAGACACGGUCCAGACUCCUACGGGAGGCAGCAGUAGGGAAUCUUCCGCAAUGGGCGAAAGCCUGACGGAGCAACGCCGCGUGAGUGAUGAAUGUCUUCGGAUCGUAAAACUCUGUUAUUAGGGAAGAACAUAUGUGUAAGUAACUGUGCACAUCUUGACGGUACCUAAUCAGAAAGCCACGGCUAACUACGUG
Molecule: ribosomal RNA, 497 nt
Filed under: uncultured bacterium
Lineage: Bacteria
Description: partial 16S ribosomal RNA
Rfam family: Bacterial small subunit ribosomal RNA
Source: RNAcentral